This 253-nucleotide ribosomal RNA is filed under the name uncultured bacterium. RNAcentral describes it as "partial 16S ribosomal RNA". It matches the Rfam family "Bacterial small subunit ribosomal RNA", at positions 524 to 776 of the family's 1533-position model. The record is from RNAcentral.
UACGAAGGGGGCUAGCGUUGUUCGGAAUCACUGGGCGUAAAGCGUACGUCGGCGGAUGAAUAAGUCAGGGGUGAAAGCCUGGGGCUCAACUCCAGAACUGCCUUUGAUACUGUUUGUCUUGAGUCCGGGAGAGGUGAGUGGAACUGCUAGUGUAGAGGUGAAAUUCGUAGAUAUUAGCAAGAACACCAGUGGCGAAGGCGGCUCACUGGCCCGGUACUGACGCUGAGGUACGAAAGCGUGGGGAGCAAACAGG